Triticum aestivum (bread wheat) is the source of this 700-nucleotide long non-coding RNA. RefSeq lists it as uncharacterized. The transcript is spliced from 2 exons. The record is from RefSeq and is a predicted model, not a curated record. NCBI's taxonomy places the organism in Eukaryota, Viridiplantae, Streptophyta, Magnoliopsida, Poales, Poaceae.
UCUAUUCUUUGACUGGCCUGGUGUGGUCUGAACACUGAACUAGUAGGAGUAGGAGCACAGUCGUCGUCUUGGCGUGGUGGUUUGAACGGCCGCGUUCCUCAAUUUUCCUGUCCAUUGAUUUCUUCUUCACUCGUCGUUUUGACUCGAUGAACGCGCGUGUUGGUAGCUCACUUCACUGGGAGAGCGAGGAUAUAUAAGUGGAUUAUUUGGAGACACAUCACACAUCAACCUCCUCUUGGCACAGCACUGAGCAACCAUCAUCAAGCUGCCCUUUGACGCAACAUGUCAUAGUGUGCUCCGAUCAAAUUGAUCAAGAAAUGUGCAGUUCAGAAUUUUGUUUUGAAAGGGAGGGGUAGAGCCGGCUACUGAACUUUGCCGCUUUGCAUCAUGUGUUGGUUGUCUGUUACAGUCUCUCGGUUGGAGGAACGACGAUGUGUAUCUACCGAGAUUUGAUAACGAGAUUCACCGAUAUGGCUACAUCUCCGGAGCCUGACUACGGGUGCUCCUCCCCGUAACACCAUCGCAAUACCGCACUUCGGACGCCGGCACACGCCGGCUGCUCCCCUGUGUGACUGUGUUAUUAUAUUGGCUUCGGUUACAUAAUGUGUCUACCCCAUAAUAUAUAAUAGGCCUAGAAUACAGGUGUCCUAAUAGGGCACGACUCCGCUUGUACAAAUAUAUUCGACACAAUUCUAACAAA